Non-coding RNA from Aedes albopictus (Asian tiger mosquito), 58 nucleotides. The record is from Rfam. NCBI's taxonomy places the organism in Eukaryota, Metazoa, Arthropoda, Insecta, Diptera, Culicidae.
UAGCCUAGUGUUUAAGGCUAUGGAUCGCCAAUCCGGAGACGGCGGGUUCGAUUCCCGU